Molecule: ribosomal RNA, 1540 nt
Filed under: metagenome
Description: bacterial LSU rRNA
Rfam family: Bacterial large subunit ribosomal RNA
Source: RNAcentral
UAGCAGCCACCCUUGAGAGAGUGCGUAAUAGCUCACUGGUCAAGUGAUUCCGCGCCGACAAUGUAGCGGGGCUGAAGUACACCGCCGAAGCCGUGACAUCAAGACAUUGGUCUUGUUGGGUAGGGGAGCGUCCCUCAUGAGGUGAAGCAGCAGUGUGAACUCGCUGUGGAUUGUGGGGGAGUGAGAAUGCAGGCAUGAGUAGCGAUUUGAGGGGUGGGAAUCCCCUCCGCCGUAUAACUAAGGGUUCCAGGGCUAGGUUUAUCCUCCCUGGGUUAGUCGGGUCCUAAGGCGAGGCCGACAGGCGUAGUCGAUGGAUAACCAGUUGAUAUUCUGGUACCGGCUUUUGAUCCGUCCAACAUUGUAUCUAGCAGUGAGUCUUUACCGCUGGACACGAGUUUUUCAUUCCGCUUUUGUGGUGGUUUGUUGGGUUUGUGUUUGGUCGUUUUGGUGAGCGUGGGUAUGGUGAGCGUGUUAACAGGGGUGACACAAAGUGGUAGCUGCUGCACACCGGUGGUUGUGUGUGUCUAAGCGUGUGGCCUGUUCCUAGGUAAACCCGGGAACGUGAUAGGUGAGGCGUGAUGGGAAUCCCUUUUGUGGGGUUUAGUGGUGAGCCUGUUUUGUCAAGAAAAGCCUCGACGUGAGGGUCAAAGCCGCCCGUACCUAAACCGACACAGGUAGUUAGGUAGAGCAUACUAAGGCGUACGAGUGAAUCGUGGUUAAGGAACUCGGCAAAAUACCCCCGUAACUUCGGAAGAAGGGGGACCCCUGAGAGUGAUCCAUCCACGCGGUGGUGAGCGUUUGGGGGUCGCAGAGGAUAGAGAGAAGCGACUGUUUACUAAAAACACAGGUGCGUGCUAAGCCGUAAGGCGCUGUAUACGCACUGACGCCUGCCCGGUGCCGGAAGAUUGAGAGGAAAGGUCAACACGCUCUUGAGUGUGUGAAGCUUUGAAUUGAAGCCCCAGUAAACGGCGGUGGUAACUAUAACCAUCCUAAGGUAGCGAAAUUCCUUGUCGGGUAAGUUCCGACCUGCACGAAUGGCGUAACGACUUCUCUACUGUCUCAACCACGAGCUCGGUGAAAUUGCACUACGAGUAAAGAUGCUCGUUACGCGCAGCAGGACGGAAAGACCCCGGGACCUUUACUAUAGCUUGGUAUUGGUGUUCGUUAGUGUUUGUGUUGGAUAGGUGGGAGACUGUGAUACCGGCACGCUAGUGUUGGUGGAGUCAUUGGUGAAAUACCACUCUGAUAUUAAUGUGCAUCUAACCUUGAAUCCUUAUCGGGUUUGGGGACAGUGCCUGGUGGGUAGUUUAACUGGGGCGGUUGCCUCCUAAAUGGUAACGGAGGCGCUCAAAGGUUCCCUCAGCCUGGUUGGUAACCAGGUGUUGAGUGUAAGUGUAAAAGGGAGCUUGACUGUGAGACUGACAAGUCGAGCAGGGACGAAAGUCGGAACUAGUGAUCCGGCCACGGCUUGUGGAAGCGUGGUCGCUCAACGGGUAAAAGGUACCCCGGGGAUAACAGGCUGAUCCUGCCCAAGAGUUAA